RNAcentral lists this transfer RNA (65 nucleotides) under Marmota monax (woodchuck). RNAcentral describes it as "tRNA.Pro". Lineage: Eukaryota; Metazoa; Chordata; Mammalia; Rodentia; Sciuridae. The record is from RNAcentral.
GGUUGGGGCUCAGUGGUAGAGCACUUGUCUGGCACAUGUGAUCCUGGGUUUGAUCCUCAGCACCA